GAGUUUGAUCCUGGCUCAGGAUGAACGCUGGCGGUAUGCUUUACACAUGCAAGUCGUACGAGAGUUUUUAACUCAAGUGGCGGACGGGUGAGUAACACGUAAGAAUUUGCCUUUAGGAGGGGGACAACAAUUGGAAACAGCUGCUAAUACCCCAUAUGCUUUCGAGUGAAAUGGAAUUUUCCGCCUAAAGAGAAGCUUGCGGCUGAUUAGCUUGUUGGUGAGGUAAUGGCUCACCAAGGCGACGAUCAGUAUCUGGUUUGAGAGGACGAUCAGACACACUGGAACUGAGACACGGUCCAGACUCCUACGGGAGGCAGCAGUGGGGAAUUUUCCGCAAUGGGCGAAAGCCUGACGGAGCAAUACCGCGUGAGGGAUGACGGCCUAUGGGUUGUAAAC
Molecule: ribosomal RNA, 396 nt
Filed under: uncultured bacterium
Lineage: Bacteria
Description: bacterial SSU rRNA
Rfam family: Bacterial small subunit ribosomal RNA
Source: RNAcentral